This 407-nucleotide ribosomal RNA is filed under the name uncultured beta proteobacterium. RNAcentral describes it as "bacterial SSU rRNA". It matches the Rfam family "Bacterial small subunit ribosomal RNA", at positions 9 to 418 of the family's 1533-position model. The record is from RNAcentral. Lineage: Bacteria; Pseudomonadati; Pseudomonadota; Betaproteobacteria.
GAGUUUGAUCUUGGCUCAGAUUGAACGCUGGCGGCAUGCCUUACACAUGCAAGUCGAGCGGCAGCGCGGGGCAACCUGGCGGCGAGCGGCGAACGGGUGAGUAAUGCAUCGGAACAUGUCCUGUCGUGGGGGAUAGCCCGGCGAAAGCCGGAUUAAUACCGCAUACGUCCGAGAGGAGAAAGUGGGGGACCCGCAAGGGCCUCACGCGAUUGGGUUGGCCGAUGUCCGAUUAGCUAGUUGGUGGGGUAAAGGCCCACCAAGGCGAUGAUCGGUAGCUGGUCUGAGAGGAUGAUCAGCCACACUGGGACUGAGACACGGCCCAGACUCCUACGGGAGGCAGCAGUGGGGAAUAUUGGACAAUGGGGGCAACCCUGAUCCAGCCAUGCCGCGUGAGUGAUGAAGGCCUC